AAGGCAAAGGUAAACUAUCUGAAAGGAUAGGGCACAAAGCCGCGAGUCUAAGUCUUUUAGCUAUUAAGGGAUAUGAUUGUCGGGUUGCCGU
RNAcentral lists this non-coding RNA (91 nucleotides) under marine sediment metagenome. RNAcentral describes it as "c-di-GMP-I riboswitch aptamer". It matches the Rfam family "c-di-GMP-I riboswitch aptamer". From Rfam's summary of the family: GEMM was predicted in a large-scale screen for bacterial structured RNA regulatory elements. Genes associated with GEMM are involved in a diverse array of functions, including chemotaxis regulation, signal transduction, secretion and chitin. The record is from RNAcentral. RNAcentral also lists the same sequence under 1 other name.